Long non-coding RNA from Dermacentor andersoni, 240 nucleotides. RefSeq lists it as uncharacterized. The record is from RefSeq and is a predicted model, not a curated record. NCBI's taxonomy places the organism in Eukaryota, Metazoa, Arthropoda, Arachnida, Ixodida, Ixodidae.
UUUUUACCUUGCUGUAGGACACAUGUUGAAACGGACCAAUGCAUAAACGGUUAAAUGGUGGCAAAGCAGCCACAUUUUUCAAGCAGUUGUGUGCUCACCAAUCAAACUUAAGCUGUUACGUUUACUCAUUAACGACACCACAAGGCCUGCUGGUUGCCAUUGUUUUUGUCUAGUCGAGCUCUUAUGUUUACUCUCGCGGAACCACGAGGCGUGCUGGCUGCAGUUGUUUUUGUCUAGUCG